GAUGAAGAACGCAGCGAAAUGCGAUAAGUAGUGUGAAUUGCAGAAUUCAGUGAAUCAUCGAAUCUUUGAACGCACAUUGCGCCCCUUGGUAUUCCAUGGGGCAUGCCUGUUCGAGCGUCAUUUGUACCUUCAAGCUCUGCUUGGUGUUGGGUGUUUGUCUCGCCUCUGCGCGUAGACUCGCCUCAAAACAAUUGGCAGCCGGCGUAUUGAUUUCGGAGCGCAGUACAUCUCGCGCUUUGCACUCAUAACGACGACGUCCAAAAGUACAUUUUUACACUCUUGACCUCGGAUCAGGUAGGGAUACCCGCCGAACUUAAGCAUAUCAAUAAGCGGAGGA
RNAcentral lists this unclassified non-coding RNA (337 nucleotides) under soil metagenome. RNAcentral describes it as "partial contains 5.8S ribosomal RNA, internal transcribed spacer 2, and large subunit ribosomal RNA". The stretch from base 1 to 120 matches the Rfam family "5.8S ribosomal RNA", at positions 35 to 154 of the family's 154-position model. The record is from RNAcentral.